This 271-nucleotide long non-coding RNA is filed under the name Lathyrus oleraceus (garden pea). RNAcentral describes it as "Pisum sativum (pea) long non-coding RNA (PSAT_LNC028437)". Lineage: Eukaryota; Viridiplantae; Streptophyta; Magnoliopsida; Fabales; Fabaceae. The record is from RNAcentral.
UUGAUGCAAGGUGUACUAUGAUACUACGUCGGUGGUUAAAGAGCUUCCUGCAAACAUGGAACUUGCACCAUAAGUUUUCAACCUGAUUUUUGACAUGUGGAAAUUCUUUAAGUGGUUUAGCUUCAAGUGAAUUAUACUCGUUUUGGGGAGAGUGAUAGUUUUGAACUAUGAUUAUCGGUCAAGAAAAUGAAAAUUUUUGGGGUGGUGUAGCUUUAAGUGACUAUACUCUUUAUAGUAGAGUAUGAUAGCUUUUUGUGAACUAUGAUUGUUG